This 1443-nucleotide ribosomal RNA is filed under the name uncultured organism. Its description in RNAcentral is "16S ribosomal RNA". It matches the Rfam family "Bacterial small subunit ribosomal RNA". The record is from RNAcentral.
CAGGCUUAACACAUGCAAGUCGAGGGGCAGCACAGGUAGCAAUACCGGGUGGCGACCGGCGCACGGGUGAGUAACGCGUAUGCAACUUACCUAUCAGAGGGGGAUAACCCGGCGAAAGUCGGACUAAUACCGCAUGAAGCAGGGGCCCCGCAUGGGGAUAUUUGCUAAAGAUUCAUCGCUGAUAGAUAGGCAUGCGUUCCAUUAGGCAGUUGGCGGGGUAACGGCCCACCAAACCGACGAUGGAUAGGGGUUCUGAGAGGAAGGUCCCCCACAUUGGUACUGAGACACGGACCAAACUCCUACGGGAGGCAGCAGUGAGGAAUAUUGGUCAAUGGCCGAGAGGCUGAACCAGCCAAGUCGCGUGAGGGAUGAAGGUUCUAUGGAUCGUAAACCUCUUUUAUAAGGGAAUAAGGUGCGGGACGUGUCCCGUUUUGUAUGUACCUUAUGAAUAAGGAUCGGCUAACUCCGUGCCAGCAGCCGCGGUAAUACGGAGGAUCCGAGCGUUAUCCGGAUUUAUUGGGUUUAAAGGGUGCGUAGGCGGCCUUUUAAGUCAGCGGUGAAAGUCUGUGGCUCAACCAUAGAAUUGCCGUUGAAACUGGGGGGCUUGAGUAUGUUUGAGGCAGGCGGAAUGCGUGGUGUAGCGGUGAAAUGCAUAGAUAUCACGCAGAACCCCGAUUGCGAAGGCAGCCUGCCAAGCCAUGACUGACGCUGAUGCACGAAAGCGUGGGGAUCAAACAGGAUUAGAUACCCUGGUAGUCCACGCAGUAAACGAUGAUCACUAGCUGUUUGCGGUACACAGUAAGCGGCACAGCGAAAGCGUUAAGUGAUCCACCUGGGGGGUACGCCGGCAGCGGUGAAACUCAAAGGAAUUGACGGGGGCCCGCACAAGCGGAGGAACAUGUGGUUUAAUUCGAUGAUACGCGAGGAACCUUACCCGGGUUUGAACGCAUUCGGACCGAGGUGGAAACACCUUUUCUAGCAAUAGCCGUUUGCGAGGUGCUGCAUGGUUGUCGUCAGCUCGUGCCGUGAGGUGUCGGCUUAAGUGCCAUAACGAGCGCAACCCUUGCCACUAGUUACUAACAGGUGAUGCUGAGGACUCUGGUGGGACUGCCAGCGUAAGCUGCGAGGAAGGCGGGGAUGACGUCAAAUCAGCACGGCCCUUACAUCCGGGGCGACACACGUGUUACAAUGGCGUGGACAAAGGGAGGCCACCUGGCGACAGGGAGCGAAUCCCCAAACCACGUCUCAGUUCGGAUCGGAGUCUGCAACCCGACUCCGUGAAGCUGGAUUCGCUAGUAAUCGCGCAUCAGCCAUGGCGCGGUGAAUACGUUCCCGGGCCUUGUACACACCGCCCGUCAAGCCAUGGGAGCCGGGGGUACCUGAAGUCCGUAACCGCGAGGAUCGGCCUAGGGUAAAACUGGUGACUGGGGCUAAGUCAUAACA